AKSGGCAKCUAUACAUGCAGUCGAGCGGACAGAUGGGAGCUUGCUCCCUGAUGUUAGCGGCGGACGGGUGAGUAACACGUGGGUAACCUGCCUGUAAGACUGGGAUAACUCCGGGAAACCGGGGCUAAUACCGGAUGCUUGUUUGAACCGCAUGGUUCAAACAUAAAAGGUGGCUUCGGCUACCACUUACAGAUGGACCCGCGGCGCAUUAGCUAGUUGGUGAGGUAACGGCUCACCAAGGCAACGAUGCGUAGCCGACCUGAGAGGGUGAUCGGCCACACUGGGACUGAGACACGGCCCAGACUCCUACGGGAGGCAGCAGUAGGGAAUCUUCCGCAAUGGACGAAAGUCUGACGGAGCAACGCCGCGUGAGUGAUGAAGGUUUUCGGAUCGUAAAGCUCUGUUGUUAGGGAAGAACAAGUACCGUUCGAAUAGGGCGGUACCUUGACGGUACCUAACCAGAAAGCCACGGCUAACUACGUGCCAGCAGCCGCGGUAAUACGUAGGUGGCAAGCGUUGUCCGGAAUUAUUGGGCGUAAAGGGCUCGCAGGCGGUUUCUUAAGUCUGAUGUGAAAGCCCCCGGCUCAACCGGGGAGGGUCAUUGGAAACUGGGGAACUUGAGUGCAGAAGAGGAGAGUGGAAUUCCACGUGUAGCGGUGAAAUGCGUAGAGAUGUGGAGGAACACCAGUGGCGAAGGCGACUCUCUGGUCUGUAACUGACGCUGAGGAGCGAAAGCGUGGGGAGCGAACRGGAUUAKAUACCCUGGUAGUCCACGCCRUAMACGAUGAGUGCUAAGUGUUAGGGGGKUUUCCGCSCSCUUASWGSUGCSSCUCWCRCRUUWMGCACUCCSCGUGKKGGAGUACRGYSYCRAGASUGAGACUCAMAMGRAWUUUKACAGCKSAUAA
This 905-nucleotide ribosomal RNA is filed under the name Bacillus sp. (in: firmicutes). RNAcentral describes it as "Bacillus sp. (in: Bacteria) partial 16S ribosomal RNA". It matches the Rfam family "Bacterial small subunit ribosomal RNA", at positions 38 to 928 of the family's 1533-position model. The record is from RNAcentral. Lineage: Bacteria; Bacillati; Bacillota; Bacilli; Caryophanales; Bacillaceae.